UACUGCCCAGAGGAAUGUUUGCUAAUAAAUAAUUUGAAAAUUAUUUCGAACCCCAUAUCCCAAACGAAAAAACCGGUUUUCCGUUGGCGGCUCCAUUUGAGUUUGAACCCGAGUCUUCAUUCUUCGCUCCCUUUCCUUGCCGGUCCGGUUCCGGCGAACAGCCAAGGAAAUGACCCGCCGACUCCUCGGAAACUAAGCGAUAACCCUCAAGGUUAGGAUUAGAUUCGUCAUACGGAGGUCUCGUCUCAGAUUUUCAGUUAAUAAAGUAUUUUUAAUUUUACUUUAUUUAUUUUGGUUUUAUUUUUGGGAUUGUAAAUUUUAUUAAUAAUGAACUGUGGUAUGGGUUGUUUUUAUUUGGGAUUUUGCAUGCAUGAAAUUUUUUGUGAAAACCAAACGAAUUUAAUAACUGGCUUAAUAUGAUUUAAAACACGAAUUUUAUUACAAAAUCAAGGACAUCACAUUUUUCCGCUGCAUAGUGAUGAAACGUAAUUUUUAAAUGUUUACUGAUGAAAUCAAUUGAGUUUUUUUUUUUUCAAACAACACGAUUUUCUAAUAAAUUGAACUUAAAUUAUAGACAACCUAACAAUCUGAUGUUCUAAAUAAAUCUAAGGCAACCACGCUAAGUUUUUUUGGAAAUUGAUCAAAAUAGUGAUUUUUUUAAAACGAAACGGAUUUAUUUGACUAGGAUGCUAACUAAUAGCUGUAAAGUCAUUCUGUAAUUUCGUUGACCUGGGUUUGAAUCCUAUUUUGACCUUUGGUUGGAGGCAUUUUGGUGCAGGAGGAGCAGCUAAAUGUAAGAGGCCUAUAGCAUGGAGUAUAGCUUGGUGCUCCGUCAGGAUAACAUAUGGACAUGCUUCUUACCCAGAAGAAGAAAGAGGCAUAUUUGCUUUCUAUUGCCCAUCCCUCUCUCCUCUAUUUUUUUGGCUAAACAGGUUAUUGUCGAUUAACAGCUUUAUUCCUUUAUUUUGACAGGGUUAAGGUAGAAUUCCAUUUACUAAUGACCGUUAUUCCAGGAAUGAGCUAACUUGCCUACAUGCAAAGAUAAUACAUACAGUCUACUUUCUUUGUUUUUCGAUUUAUUUCUCAAGACUUAUUCAAAAAUGGAUCAAUCUCUCUAAAGUUCUGUAUUAUGCUCUUGAAGUUGACUUCAAUACAGAUUCUUCUAAUAAAAUAUUUUAGGAUAUGGGAACCAAAAGGAGAAAAAAGCAGGGUAUUGGGGCAUUCCGAGAAUCGAACUCGGGACCUCUCGCACCCAAAGCGAGAAUCAUACCACUAGACCAAAUGCCCAAUUUUUGGUAUCUUUCAUGUCUGGUUUUUACUUAUCAGAUCUUUUUCUCAUAGGACUCCUAUGAAUCUUCAACGGGGUCAUUCUUGGAAGACCAAAAUCUUCCAAUUUCUCAUUUUUGAUGUGGUUCAAUGUAUCAUUUGCCUUCUACAAUUGGAUGCUAAGGACUUUUGCAUUAGCAACAGGUCUGAACCCCACCUUCAUCAAAGGAUAAGGGAGUGGGGGUUGAGGGAAGGGAGAGAGCUAAAUCCGCAUAAUGUAGCCUGGCAGUUGGAUCAGGAAGAAGGAAAUGAAAGCAGUCUUAGCAGAUAGAGAAGACAGAGACUCACUCAGAAGGAGGGAAAAUACCUGGCAGUUGAACUAUGAAUUUUGAUAAUUUGUUUGUAUUUUUAUUUCUUUAUUUGUUAAAAUGCUUGACUUAAUAGGUUGAUGGCUAGUGAGCUCUUAAAAAUAUUACAUACAGAUUUGUUGCAUCUAAUUUUGUUACUCGUUUUUGAAAAAUCUUGUUGGACAACAAUUGAUACUUAGAAAGAUGACUUCGGAUGUAUAAAAGAUAAUGAAUAGAAAGCAGCUUGGGCAUUCUGAGAAUUGAAUUGAAACCUCUCACACCCAAAGAAUCAUAUCACUAGACCAAAUAUUCAUUUGUUGUCUAAAUUUAUUGCUAUUACAUUUAGAGGUAGUAGUUUUCAAGAAAUGGUGCAUAUCUUUAUUAAUUGAUGAAAUCUUUGACCCUCUGAUCAGAACUAGAUUGUCUAUUAUCCUUUUUGCUAUUGGAAUUAGCAAUUAUGCGAAGUGUUCUAUUCGAACAAGAAUGGCAUAUUGGUUCUAAAGGAGAAGCUAAAUGUAGGAGGUCCAUAGCAUGGAGUGUAGCAUGGUUCUUGGUCAGAAUGAUGGAUGGACUUCUUACUCGGGAAGAAAAGG
This is a long non-coding RNA of Gossypium arboreum, 2206 nucleotides long. RefSeq lists it as uncharacterized. Lineage: Eukaryota; Viridiplantae; Streptophyta; Magnoliopsida; Malvales; Malvaceae. The record is from RefSeq and is a predicted model, not a curated record. The transcript is spliced from 4 exons.